GAUGAACGCUGGCGGCGUGCCUAAUACAUGCAAGUCGAGCGAACGGACGAGAAGCUUGCUUCUCUGAUGUUAGCGGCGGACGGGUGAGUAACACGUGGAUAACCUACCUAUAAGACUGGGAUAACUUCGGGAAACCGUAGCUAAUACCGGAUAAUAUUUUGAACCGCAUGGUUCAAAAGUGAAAGACGGUCUUGCUGUCACUUAUAGAUGGACCCGCGCUGCAUUAGCUAGUUGGUAAGGUAACGGCUUACCAAGGCAACGAUGCAUAGCCGACCUGAGAGGGUGAUCGGCCACACUGGAACUGAGACACGGUCCAGACUCCUACGGGAGGCAGCAGUAGGGAAUCUUCCGCAAUGGGCGAAAGCCUGACGGAGCAACGCCGCGUGAGUGAUGAAGGUCUUCGGAUCGUAAAACUCUGUUAUUAGGGAAGAACAUAUGUGUAAGUAACUGUGCACAUCUUGACGGUACCUAAUCAGGAAGCCACGGCUAACUACGUGCCAGCAGCCGCGGUAAUACGUAGGUGGCAAGCGUUAUCCGGAAUUAUUGGGCGUAAAGCGCGCGUAGGCGGUUUUUUAGUCUGAUGUGAAAAGCCCACGGCUCAACCGUGGAGGGUCAUUGGAAACUGGAAAACUUGAGUGCAGAAGAGGAAAGUGGGAAUUCCCUGUGUAACGGGUGAAAAGCGCAAGAAUAGGGAGGAACUCCAGUGGCGAAUGCCAUUUUCUGGGGUGGUACCGAAUUUGAAUGUGGAAAA
Molecule: ribosomal RNA, 751 nt
Filed under: Staphylococcus aureus
Lineage: Bacteria; Bacillati; Bacillota; Bacilli; Caryophanales; Staphylococcaceae
Description: bacterial SSU rRNA
Rfam family: Bacterial small subunit ribosomal RNA
Source: RNAcentral